AUGGGAACCAGUUCUUCAGUUGCUUCACUGUUGUUCUAGGUGAACUGAGAAUACACCUUAGAUUGUGUGUUAUCUUCUCUAGUGGCUGCCCAAUGUUGGGGGACAAUGGGUGGUGAAGAAACCCAAGAAAGCUCCUUAUCAACCCAAAGUUCCCUAGAAGAAAUUUGCUCCCUUUGUUCUGUGCAAACCAUACUUUGCUCACAUUCAGUAUUUCUCCUGUUAACCUGGUUCACCUCUCAGCAAUGAUUGAGAAUUUUGAAACCUGAUUUUUUUAUAUUUGCCUUUAAGAUAUGGGGCAGCAGGAUGAAUGGGAAGAACAGCUUCCUUAGUGCUAUGGAUGUCUCAUCAUAUGCUUCAGGGAAAUCUAUUUCUUGGAUUAAAAAAUGAGAAUUAUGGACUGAAUAGCAACCUAAUUAUUCUGGCUGAGAUAUAUUAAUAUGGACAUAGUUUUCUCUGCGUUGUCAUGAUCAUAUCAACAUUACAUAAUAUGAAUGAGCUCAUUCUAAUCAGGUAUAAUUGCAGAAGAACUACUUAAAGAUCAGAAAAAAAGUUAUUUAUGGAUGCCACCAUGGCUGACCAAGUGGCAUGUGUCCAAAGAUGGAAAGAAGAAGCAGUUCCAACGAAAGAUGAUUGGCAAUUAAAACAGAUGGAGUACGCAGAGAUGGUGAAACUUACUGGAAGAAUAUAUGAAAACAAAUGGUAAGCAAUUAAAAACAUUAGCAGGAUUCACAAGAACACGAGCAGUAAGAAAUAACUUAAAGGGAGUAAAAAGGUUAAACUUGUAAAUAGGUUUGAAUUGGUUAUGCAGUAAGAUUACUAUAUAAAAUAAGGAACUGCAGAGGGGGAGGGGAGGGGAGGGGAGGCAAAGAAAAGGCAGGUUGAAUUUGCUUAGAUUUAAUUUUUGUUGUUAAAAUAUUGUAAAUGGAAAAAUGGAAAAGUAAAAUAUAUAUAUUUUAAAAAACUACAGGCAGAAAACA
Long non-coding RNA from Podarcis raffonei (Aeolian wall lizard), 977 nucleotides. RefSeq lists it as uncharacterized. Lineage: Eukaryota; Metazoa; Chordata; Lepidosauria; Squamata; Lacertidae. The transcript has 3 exons. The record is from RefSeq and is a predicted model, not a curated record.